UCUCUGUGAUGAUGAAAAACGAUGACGAGUCUGAUCUCUAAUCCAUUCACCCUUGAUGACAAAACGAGGCAUUUGUCUGAGAGAA
Molecule: non-coding RNA, 85 nt
Organism: Cucumis melo (muskmelon)
Lineage: Eukaryota; Viridiplantae; Streptophyta; Magnoliopsida; Cucurbitales; Cucurbitaceae
Source: Rfam